UGUAGCGUGAUUAACAGAUGUCUAUUCUGUCACUGCGGAACAAGUACGUCCACUCAGUCCAGGAUGGAAUGGCUGUUAAUCACUCUACAUGCUUUGA
Long non-coding RNA from Poecilia latipinna (sailfin molly), 97 nucleotides. RefSeq lists it as uncharacterized. The record is from RefSeq and is a predicted model, not a curated record. The transcript has 4 exons. Lineage: Eukaryota; Metazoa; Chordata; Actinopteri; Cyprinodontiformes; Poeciliidae.